Molecule: ribosomal RNA, 253 nt
Filed under: uncultured bacterium
Lineage: Bacteria
Description: partial 16S ribosomal RNA
Rfam family: Bacterial small subunit ribosomal RNA
Source: RNAcentral
UACAGAGGGGGCAAGCGUUGUUCGGAAUUACUGGGCGUAAAGGGCGCGUAGGCGGCCCGCUAAGUCGAACGUGAAAUCCCCAGGCUCAACCUGGGAACUGCGUCCGAUACUGGCAGGCUUGAAUCCGGGAGAGGGAUGUGGAAUUCCAGGUGUAGCGGUGAAAUGCGUAGAUAUCUGGAGGAACACCGGUGGCGAAGGCGGCAUCCUGGACCGACACUGACGCUGAGGCGCGAAAGCCAGGGGAGCAAACGGG